This 565-nucleotide ribosomal RNA is filed under the name Talaromyces flavus. RNAcentral describes it as "eukaryotic LSU rRNA". The stretch from base 194 to 344 matches the Rfam family "5.8S ribosomal RNA". Lineage: Eukaryota; Fungi; Ascomycota; Eurotiomycetes; Eurotiales; Trichocomaceae. The record is from RNAcentral.
UUGUUUUAACGUGAGUGUGCGGUCCUCACGGCUACAUCUCACCCUUGUUCUCUCUACCCUCGUGUUAGCUUUGGCGGGCCCACCGGCCGCCACCUGGUCCCCGGGGGACUCACGUCCCCGGACCCCGCGCCCGCCGAAGCUCUCUUUGAACCCUGAUGAAGAUGGGCUGUCUCACUACAAUCAAACUUGUCUUAACUUUCAACAUUACAUCUCUUCAUUCCUGCCUCCAUGAAUAACGCAGCGAAAUGUGAUAAUUAAUGUACAUUGAAAUUUUGAAUUUUCUCAUCUUAAUCUUUAAAUAUCAUUUUCCCUCCGGUCUUGGGGGGAUGCCUGUCCGAGAGACAUUUUUGUCAUCAUUCACGCUUUGUGUGUUAGGUGUAGUCCCCCCCGGGACCUGGCCUAAAGGCAGCCUCCACCUCCCUCUGGUCCUCGAACGUGCGUGCCUCUGUCACUCGGUGGCCACGGAGGGGCGGCGAUAGCUCACCGCCAUAAUUUACAACGGUGGAAGUCGGAUCAGGUAGAACUUACCCGCUAAAUUUAUCCUUCUCAAAUUCCGGAGGAAAAA